Molecule: ribosomal RNA, 403 nt
Filed under: uncultured bacterium
Lineage: Bacteria
Description: partial 16S ribosomal RNA
Rfam family: Bacterial small subunit ribosomal RNA
Source: RNAcentral
GACGAACGCUGGCGGCGUGCCUAAUACAUGCAAGUCGAACGCAGUGGGGACGGGUGAGUAACACGUGGGUAACCUCCCAUCAGAGGGGAUAACACUUGGAAACAGGUGCUAAACCGAUACUGAUUGAUGGACCCGCUGUGCAUUAGCUAGUUGGUGAGGUAACGGCUCACCAAGGCCACGAUGCAUAGCCGACCUGAGAGGGUGAUCGGCGACACUGGGACGGAGACACGGCCCAGACACCUACGUGAGGCAGCAGUAGGGAAUCUUCGGCAAUGGACGAAAGUCUGACCGAGCAAGGCCGCGUGAGUGAAGAAGGUUUUCGGAUCGUAAAUCUCUGUUGUUAGAGAGGCGGUAUCUAACCAGAAAGCAACGGCUAACUACGUGCCAGCAACCGCGGUAAUAA